AUCGUAGAUGUCAAGCCUUCACCC
RNAcentral lists this non-coding RNA (24 nucleotides) under Arabidopsis thaliana (thale cress). Lineage: Eukaryota; Viridiplantae; Streptophyta; Magnoliopsida; Brassicales; Brassicaceae. The record is from RNAcentral.